Molecule: ribosomal RNA, 141 nt
Filed under: Pinctada margaritifera
Lineage: Eukaryota; Metazoa; Mollusca; Bivalvia; Pterioida; Pteriidae
Description: partial 28S ribosomal RNA
Rfam family: Eukaryotic large subunit ribosomal RNA
Source: RNAcentral
CCCUGAAAAUGGAUGGCGCUAGAGCGUCNAGCCUAUACCANGCCGUCGCAGCAAUACAUGCCCCCCGGGUGCCAUGCUGCNACGAGUAGGAGGGCCGCUGCGGUGAGCGUCGAAGCCUUGGGCGNNAGCCUGGGUNGAGCC